Molecule: long non-coding RNA, 295 nt
Filed under: Elaeis guineensis (African oil palm)
Lineage: Eukaryota; Viridiplantae; Streptophyta; Magnoliopsida; Arecales; Arecaceae
Description: long non-coding RNA (EGUI_LNC039898)
Source: RNAcentral
UCCUCCACACCAUGCCGCAUAAAGGGGUGGACUCCUCUUGUAUUAUCCAUGGGAUUGGCGUCCCAUGGUCCUGCCAAAAAUGAAGGUAGGCGCCAUCCAUUCUUCCCAUUUAUUCCACACACCAUUUAGAGAUAAUUAGGAGAUAAUGUAGAGAUAAUUAGGAGAUAAUGUAUGCCAACUCAUUGACGUUAUCCAAUCCUUUUGGGCUCACAAUUAAGAGUCCAAUUAAAUCCAAAUGGAUUUAGGUUAGGUUCAAGGCUAUGGACUUGAUCCAAUCGAAGUCUCUAAAAGAAUU